UACAAGAGCAGAAUCCAGCUGCCUGGUUCGACAUCUUAUAGCGGUCUGUUCCACAGUUUAACAGCUGUGCAGCUGCGGCUUCUCCCAUCUGUUUCCUAGGGUUUGUUUAUGUUACUAUGAGUGAUGGUUAUGAUUAGAGCUUCGCCACCAGUGACGAUAUCAUUAUAUGGUGGAAGGUGUACCAAUGUCAAUUUUGGAUGUUGUACGCCAAUAAUAAUUGCGAUUUGAACAGUUUCUGAUGUUAAUGAUGAAAGAGACUUAAAAUGUGGGAGACGAGCGAAUUCUAAAAUGAAUGAAGCAUGCAUGAGUCACAAAACUGAUCGCCACCAUCUUACAGAUUUUCCAGAAACAGUUUUAUUUACUCAACUAAGUGUGGUAUGGAAUAAAACACUGGAUUUGGAAGUAGUACUACGAGAACAUGAACGGAGCUAUCCAAGAAGAAAUUGACCCCUUUGUUAUUUUUGUCAAUUAGCAAAUUUAAGGUUUAUUUGUAUUUUUAAGAUGCAACGUGAGUACUUAAUUUACGAAAAUUUUUAAGUAUGGCAGAAUAACCUGGCACAGAAUAAUCAGGCAUAAAAAAUUUUCGCAUGUUGAGAAUUUGACGAAAUUGAUUUGAUCUAAGUAAACCCUUUCUAACUGUUCUGUCAUUUUUCGUUUCAAUGUAUGAUCUGACAUGAAUUUCUCUUAAGCGUUAUUGUUGUAUCUUGAUAAUUAUUUUGUUGAUCUUCCCACUAUGAUCAUAUUGGGUGGAAAUCCAUAACAGCAUAGUAUUGGUACAUACGUAGUUAUGAAGUAACUCACAUUAUUUACCUUUGGAUUCAGAGUGCGUUGAAAAGUAUUCACAAAAAAAACCUUUCAGGGAGUUCCAUUAGAGGAAGCCAAUCACAUAAAAUUUAAGAUAUCAUCGCAGAUAUUACUUGCAAGAAAUCAUUUUUUCUGUUUCAAGUUCUGUCAGUUUGGAGACUGUACUCAUAAAUUAUUGGACAUGGCUAUUGUGCAUGUUCGUUCUACACACUACUACUUCCCUACCUUUUCCUGAAAGUUAGAAAUAUCGAUGUAUUGUUCAGACAGUGUGCCAAGAUCGCAGCGCGUCGUAAAUUGUAACAUAUUUAAAGUACAUGUUAUGUUCCGGCUGAGGAUGAAAGAAACAUUUCGUCAGUUACUUACAUGCAAUAAACAUUUCUCUUACGCGUUAUUGUUGUAUCUUGAUAAUUAUUUUGUUGUUCGUCCCACUAUGCUAAUGUUGGAUGGAAAGCCAUAACAAUAUAGUAUUGGUAUAUACAUAGUUAUGAAGCAACUCACAUUAUUUACUUUCGGAUAUUUUCAGUAACAUUAAAACAAUUCUUUAGUAUGAUUUCUUUCUAUCUGAGGACGGAUUCGGCUGCCAACAGAAACAUCAUGAAUCAAAACCGUGUAGAAAUUAGAAGAAACAGAACUUCUUGCUGCUCAAUAAACUUAUAUGUAUGCUGCAGCUGCAAGGAAACUGGAAGUGGAGUGUGAAUGUUCAGAUUAACUUAUACUUUAUUGUUUGUUAGCAAACAUGUUUCCAGAUUAAUGUGCGAGUCAACUGCCUUUCCAAUUGAAAGACAUGUUUGCUUCUUUUAAUUUGUUCAUAACCGAACAUUAAUAUAUAAAUUAUUUGUAAACUCUAAUGUAUGAAAAUAUGUAUGAGGAAAUUUCCUUAGAAACGUACGAUUUAACAAAAGUUUUUCAACGUUAGGUCAAUUUCUUUAAUGUCACAAAUUACAGAAUUUUUUUUUUAAAUGGAGACAUAUAAUACCGCUUCAAAACGAAAAUGACUCAGUCUCUAUUUCCUUACUUUUCACAAAGUAACUUCGAUAUUUAUUUUCAAAGAAUCUGCAAAGUAAUGAGAAUAUUACUACACAGAACAAAUAAAAGGAUAAACUGUCACGCUUAUUUUGAAAUGGCACUGUUCAAACAACUGAAAAUUUAUAUUUUAAUGUGCUACAUUGUUCUAUAUUCAUUCAUGUGUAUGCUUGUCUGUGCUAGGCAAGAAUGUACUUCAUUGUUCUAUGUUCGUUCCCGCAUAUGACUAUCUGUUUAUAAAAGUUGAAAUUCCAAUUCCAUGAAGUGUUCUGACAUUAAUUCAAAUGUGAUUAUUUCUUUUCUAAUGUAAACGGUUAACAUACACUGAAGUUCUUAACUUUGAAAGGCUAAAAGCAAAAACAAAAAAAGAUAUAAGUAGAAAUAGGAUAAAAUGGUUCUCAACACGUGAAAUAAGAUCUCACAAACAGUUAUGUAUCUUGAAUACAGAGUUACAAUAUUCUAAAAGGUUGUGUUGUAUUGUCAUUUUGUAUUUUGAUAAAGUAACUUACGAUAUAUGUAAAUACUUGAACAUAACAAAGUGCUUCUCAGCAAAUCAGGUAAAACCUUAAAAACAGGAAAUAUCUCGUACUACUGUAAAUGACUGUAUUAUGUUUUCGUAUUGGAAAUCAUGAAUAUUGCUUACGAUACAUGGAAAUAUUUGAAUAAAUAAUAAUAAAUACAGCUGUCAGCGUAAUGAAGAUGUAUUUUUUAUACUAGUCAUAGCCAUUUUGUGUAAACUAAAGUACCACUGAAGCAUCAGGAAUGUCAUAAAUCCCUCCAGCCUUUGUUGCCAAUAGAUUGACCCUGAUAAUGGCGCUGCUUUUUAUUCAAGGAGCUUCUU
This is a long non-coding RNA of Schistocerca cancellata (South American locust), 2668 nucleotides long. RefSeq lists it as uncharacterized. The transcript has 3 exons. The record is from RefSeq and is a predicted model, not a curated record. NCBI's taxonomy places the organism in Eukaryota, Metazoa, Arthropoda, Insecta, Orthoptera, Acrididae.